UACGGGAGGCAGCAGGGGGGAAUAUUGCACAAUGGGCGAAAGCCUGAUGCAGCUAUGCCGCGUGUAUGAAGAAGGCCUUAGGGUUGUAAAGUACUUUCAUCGGGGAGGAAAAAACAAAACUAAUAAUUUUAUUUCUUGACGUUACCCGAAAAAGAAGCACCGGCUAACUCCGUGCCAGCAGCCGCGGUAAUACGGAGGGUGCUAGCGUUAAUCAGAAUUACUGGGCGUAAAGAGCACGUAGGUGGUUUUUUUAAGUCAGAUGUGAAAUCCCUGGGCUUAACCUGGAACUGCAUUUUGAAACUGAAAUACUAGAGUAUCGUAGAGGGAGGUAGAAUUCUAGGUGUAGCGGUGAAAUGCGUAGAUAUCUGGAGGAAUACCUGUGGCGAAAGCGGCCUCCUAAACGAAUACUGACACUGAGGGUGCGAAAGCGUGGGGAGCAAACAGGGAUUAGAUACCCGU
This 459-nucleotide ribosomal RNA is filed under the name uncultured bacterium. RNAcentral describes it as "bacterial SSU rRNA". It matches the Rfam family "Bacterial small subunit ribosomal RNA", at positions 340 to 789 of the family's 1533-position model. The record is from RNAcentral.